RNAcentral lists this ribosomal RNA (540 nucleotides) under uncultured archaeon. RNAcentral's name for it is "bacterial SSU rRNA". It matches the Rfam family "Archaeal small subunit ribosomal RNA", at positions 459 to 997 of the family's 1478-position model. The record is from RNAcentral.
CAGCAGCCGCGGUAACACCGGCGGCCCGAGUGGUGAUCGUGAUUAUUGGGUCUAAAGGGUCCGUAGCCGGUUUGGUCAGUCCUCCGGGAAAUCUGAUAGCUCAACUAUUAGGCUUUCGGGGGAUACUGCCAGACUUGGAACCGGGAGAGGUAAGAGGUACUACAGGGGUAGGAGUGAAAUCUUGUAAUCCCUGUGGGACCACCUGUGGCGAAGGCGUCUUACCAGAACGGGUUCGACGGUGAGGGACGAAAGCUGGGGGCACGAACCGGAUUAGAUACCCGGGUAGUCCCAGCCGUAAACGAUGCUCGCUAGGUGUCAGGCAUGGCGCGACCGUGUCUGGUGCCGCAGGGAAGCCGUGAAGCGAGCCACCUGGGAAGUACGGCCGCAAGGCUGAAACUUAAAGGAAUUGGCGGGGGAGCACAACAACGGGUGGAAGCCUGCGGUUUAAUUGGACUCAACGCCGGACAACUCACCGGGGGCGACAGCAAUAUGUAGGCCAAGCUGAAGACUUUGCCUGAAUCGCUGAGGGGUGGUGCAUGG